Molecule: long non-coding RNA, 1191 nt
Organism: Schistocerca cancellata (South American locust)
Lineage: Eukaryota; Metazoa; Arthropoda; Insecta; Orthoptera; Acrididae
Exons: 3
Source: RefSeq, a predicted model, not a curated record
UUCACCCGACCGCGCCAGUCCCAGGUGGCGCGGAAUGGCGGCGGCGCUGCCGUAUGUUGGCACGCACCUAUUGUCCCACAUUUACCGCCUUCCUCACGCUGACAGCUGCUGCCGGCGCUCCACGCGGCUCCUCGCCGCUUUCCUUACCGAAACGGCGGCCCCUCGCCGCCUCUCCGUGUUUCGAAAACCACUUCUUCGCACCUCUCUGCCGGCCGCCGAGCACAUGGUCGAGUGAUAUUGAUUCGGCCACCAAGAAAGGCCGAUAAUUUUGAAGCCUUAAAAUCGAUAGCAAUUACAGUGUAGCUCAGAGCGGCGUCAGUCCUCUUCACGGAAGGACAACUGUUCGCGAUUGUGCUUUUACGUAGGGCGAGUAGCGAUCUAGAAGUUACAGAGUGGUCGCAAGACGGUUUGUGGUGAGAGUUAACUACUGGCGUGUUCGUGCCUGUUUUGUGUUGCUGCGUGACGCCUGCGGCUUGUGGAAGCGGUAUCACGACAGUUCGAGUGUAAAAUGCUGUUCGACUAUUUGAAGGAUCUUUUCUCGAAUUUUAGUUGCAAUAGAGUCGUUUGCUUCGCCACGAAAAAGAGUGAGACGUCUAAGCAGAAAAUACAAUCGUCCACGCGAGCCACGGCAUAGCGUAUUUUGCGGAAUGACCUAGACGGUAGUUUUUAUUUCUUUUAUAUUUUUUAUCGCUUUUAAGAUAUGCACGUUUGCAAUUUCAUUUACGCAGAACUUAUAAGAAAUAGUCGGUUUCGAAAUUUCUCGUUCUUGCAGGUGUAAAUAUGGAUUAAAUCCAGUGAUCUCCAACUACCUGGAAUUUUGGUUGAGGAGAAAAGCGGAGGGUGCUGCAGUUCUUGGUCACGCUGCGCGCGGAUUGUGCUGACAGGUGUGGCAAUGGUGGGCUUCACGGCGUCUGCGGAGCUGUUGUUUACUUCUGCUUUUGUGGCGCAUUCGAAUAUGACUGGGUACUGUAGAAAAUAAUGUGUGAGAACCAUAAGGACCAAGUUUGUUGAGAUUCACAGCCGGAAAGUUUGGUUGUGUAAAUUGUCAUUUCUCCAAAUGAUUGUGAAGUAGCCUUUCCUGUGCUUCGUCCAACUUCGUGUCAUUGUAAAAUUGGUUGCAUUGUACAAGUGUUAUUUUAUGUGUAGAGACAUACAACACUUUCUGUAUAACUGAGAUAUUAAAUAAAAAGA